CUACGGGGGGCUCCAGUGAGGAAUAUUGGACAAUGGGCGAAAGCCUGAUCCAGCGACGCCGCGUGGGUGAAGAAGGCCUUCGGGUUGUAAAGCCCUGUCAGAGGGGACGAAGUUCUGACGGUACCCUCAGAGGAAGCACAGGCUAACUCCGUGCCAGCAGCCGCGGUAAUACGGAGUGUGCGAGCGUUGCUCGGAAUCACUGGGCGUAAAGGGCACGUAGGCGGCCUCGUGUGUUGGGUGUGAAAGCCCACGGCUCAACCGUGGAACUGCACUCAAAACUGCGAGGCUAGAGUACGGAAGAGGAAGGCGGAAUUCCCAGUGUAGGGGUGAAAUCCGUAGAUAUUGGGAAGAACACCAGUGGCGAAGGCGGCCUUCUGGGACGAUACUGACGCUGAUGUGCGAAAGCGUGGGGAGCAAACAGGAUUAGAUACCCCUGUAGUC
Molecule: ribosomal RNA, 441 nt
Filed under: uncultured bacterium
Lineage: Bacteria
Description: partial 16S ribosomal RNA
Rfam family: Bacterial small subunit ribosomal RNA
Source: RNAcentral